RNAcentral lists this ribosomal RNA (214 nucleotides) under uncultured bacterium. Its description in RNAcentral is "partial 16S ribosomal RNA". It matches the Rfam family "Bacterial small subunit ribosomal RNA", at positions 524 to 737 of the family's 1533-position model. The record is from RNAcentral.
UACAGAGGUCCCGAGCGUUGUUCGGAUUCAUUGGGCGUAAAGGGUGCGUAGGCGGCUUCCUAAGUUUGAUGUGAAAUCCUGGGGCCCAACCCUGGAACUGCAUUGAAUACUGGGAGGCUAGAGUACUGGAGAGGAAACUGGAAUUUAACGGUGUAGCAGUGAAAUGCGUAGAGAUCGUAAGGAAGACCAGUGGCGAAGCGAGUUUCUGGACAGU